This 453-nucleotide ribosomal RNA is filed under the name uncultured bacterium. RNAcentral describes it as "bacterial SSU rRNA". It matches the Rfam family "Bacterial small subunit ribosomal RNA", at positions 8 to 507 of the family's 1533-position model. The record is from RNAcentral.
AGAGUUUGAUCAUGGCUCAGAACGAACGCUGGCGGCAUGCCUAACACAUGCAAGUCGAACGAGACCUUCGGGUCUAGUGGCGCACGGGUGCGUAACGCGUGGGAAUCUGCCCUUGGGUUCGGAAUAACAGCGAGAAAUUGCUGCUAAUACCGGAUGAUGACGUAAGUCCAAAGAUUUAUCGCCCAAGGAUGAGCCCGCGUAGGAUUAGCUAGUUGGUGAGGUAAAGGCUCACCAGGGCGACGAUCCUUAGCUGGUCUGAGAGGAUGAUCAGCCACACUGGGACUGAGACACGGCCCAGACUCCUACGGGAGGCAGCAGUGGGGAAUAUUGGACAAUGGGCGAAAGCCUGAUCCAGCAAUGCCGCGUGAGUGAUGAAGGCCUUAGGGUUGUAAAGCUCUUUUACCCGGGAUGAUAAUGACAGUACUGGGAGAAUAAGCUCCGGCUAACUCCGUG